UUGGCUCAGGAUGAACGCUGGCGGCGCACAUAAGACAUGCAAGUCGAACGAGCUUAAUCGAAAGUUUACUUUUGAAGCGGUUAGUGGCGGACUGGUGAGUAACGCGUAAGCAAUCUGCCUGGAAGAGAGGAAUAACAGUGAGAAACCAUUGCUAAUACCACAUAAGCUGUGAAUAGCACAUGCUAUAAACAGAAAAGGAGCAAUCCGCUUUCAGAUGAGCUUGCGUCUGAUUAGCUAGUUGGUAAGGUAACGGCUUACCAAGGCGAUGAUCAGUAGCCGGACUGAGAGGUUAAACGGCCACAUUGGGACUGAGAUACGGCCCAGACUCCUACGGGAGGCAGCAGUGGGGAAUA
Molecule: ribosomal RNA, 353 nt
Filed under: uncultured rumen bacterium
Lineage: Bacteria
Description: bacterial SSU rRNA
Rfam family: Bacterial small subunit ribosomal RNA
Source: RNAcentral